GGCAGGCCAUGAUCAAGAAGCACUCUCCUCUGCCUGGAGAAGGUCCAGAUACUGCUGAAGCAAUUUAGGAUCCUUGGAGGGCUGCUGAGUGGACCUGUGUUUUUUUGGUACUACAAGAAAAGAAGCCGCCUAGUCAAGGAUCUGCUUCUUGAUCCCCCAGGCAUGGCCCCGAGCCACAUGGAGCUCAUUUCUAACCUGACAGUGAACGCCUCAUUCUUGCUUCCUUCCCCCACGUCAUAACACCCUUCAG
Equus quagga is the source of this 250-nucleotide long non-coding RNA. RefSeq lists it as uncharacterized. Lineage: Eukaryota; Metazoa; Chordata; Mammalia; Perissodactyla; Equidae. The record is from RefSeq and is a predicted model, not a curated record. The transcript has 4 exons.